CUAGUGGCCUUGGUACCGCUGUCCAUCUUAGCUUCACUGGUAUUCUAAAGGCUCCGGGCCAACUAAUAUCCUCACUUUCUUGUUUGGGACACGGGGGCGGAUCUUAGUCACCAAGUUUUGGCCCCUUGCUCACCCCUGGGCUCUGGGAGAAGUGCAAGGGUCAAAGGGAGUGUGGGGUCAGGAGAUCAGGGAAGAUCCUGGCGGUAAGAGCCCUGGGAAGUGGGCUGAGAUGCCUUGGGGCCAGGGGUGGGUGGCCUUGACCUGGGCGGUUCAAGGGCUGAAGGGCUAAGUACCAGAACUGGCUCUGUCCUGACCACUUUCAGAUGGCUGGUGUCUCCUCUCCACGGUAAACUGCAUACCAAUGGGGAGAGAAGAGGUGAGAAAUAAAAACAGUGCCUGUCCUAUUAGUAAAACAAAGGCUAUCAGCAGCAGACCCAGAUUGCAGCCACACCCACACCCCACCCCCUGCCUUGGGGAGUGGGCCCUAGGGAACUCUGGAGGGAAACAAAGAAUACCUGCCCUCUGCAGACAUUAGGCUGCAGCCAUUAGGCUGCAGGGGAAAACAGGACACUGGCCCCCAGUGGCUGAGGUGCACAUCAAAAGAGUGAUUUCAUCGGAGCCCAGACCUGGCAUCUUCCCAUUCACAGAAAAACUGAAUUCCUUAACUUGACCCAUCUAGUUUUCUUUUAUUAACAGUAAUCUUUUGUUCUGACUACCUGCCUUUUGUUGCAAAAUCCCUAUACAUCCUCUACCCCCUCGCCUCCGUGGAGCAGUUUUCUCAGGGUUAUUUGAGAUGCUGCCUCCCUCGGGCCUGAAGUCCUAAGAAGGUUUGGUGAAUAAAACUUUCAACUCUCAACUUUUAGGUUGUGCAGGGGGUUUCGUGUGUAUGUGUGUUUGGUUUUUUUGUUUUUUUUCUUUUCAGCUGACAGCUUCCACAGCCAAACUCCCUGCAGUCAGAGUGAUGGCUCCUUCCCACUUUGCAGAGGAGGUGGGCUGGGUGGGGUUAGGGAGGCCUCUCUUGUUCGGGCUUUGCCCAUCUGGGAGGUAUUCCUUGGGCAGGUUCCCUUACCUUUAGGCUAAAAGUCGCAUUAACGGUCCCUAGCAUUCCUGGGAGCUGGGCCUCCAGAAGCUGUGUGGGCCCAGAAGUACCUUGCCUCUGGGUGCGGGUGGCCGAUUUGGAGCCUCUGGUGAGGCCAAAGGACACACACACACACACACACACUGUCCGGCCCAAAGUGAGGGAGGCGCCGCCUGCCAACACCCAGGGCACCUCU
Molecule: long non-coding RNA, 1274 nt
Filed under: Sus scrofa (pig)
Lineage: Eukaryota; Metazoa; Chordata; Mammalia; Artiodactyla; Suidae
Description: lncRNA (ENSSSCG00030060094.1)
Source: RNAcentral